CGGACGGGUGAGUAAUGCUUGGGAAUCUAGCUUAUGGAGGGGGAUAACUACGGGAAACUGUAGCUAAUACCGCGUAAUAUCGAAAGAUUAAAGUGUGGGACCUUCGGGCCACAUGCCAUAAGAUGAGCCCAAGUGGGAUUAGGUAGUUGGUGAGGUAAAGGCUCACCAAGCCGACGAUCUCUAGCUGGUCUGGGAGGAUGACCAGCCACACUGGGACUGAGACACGGCCCAG
This 232-nucleotide ribosomal RNA is filed under the name uncultured bacterium. Its description in RNAcentral is "partial 16S ribosomal RNA". It matches the Rfam family "Bacterial small subunit ribosomal RNA", at positions 99 to 334 of the family's 1533-position model. The record is from RNAcentral.